AGCUUGCCCACUGCGCAGGCGUGCCCCGAAAGACCAGCUUGAACAAUGAAGAGGACCUCGGCGUUAGGUGGGACCGCAACCAACAAGGACUACAGUUCCCAGCGGGCAGAGCGCCAACUCCAAGUGAAGGUCCGGUUGCUGGGCAUGCUAGGAGUUGUAGUGUCGGCCGCCUUUACAAUCUAGGCUGUUUGGAAGAUUUAGAGCUUCUAUUUCUUGAAGAUUUAUUCGACCGUUUUAAAAAAUCUCGCAACUGAAGCAGGGUUCAGAGUUUACUAUCUGCGUCCUUGAGUAGCCUGGGGAUCAACUGCUGCAUAUUAGCAAAUUUCGAAGCGUCAAGGCCUUCAGUGAGCCCUUUCUGUCAUUUGGGUGGUCCAGGCAGCUGAAGAGUGGGAUGGAGGCGGGACUAAACCAGGCUGGGCUGGAGGAAAAGGGCGGGGCCUGCAAGCCUGUCUCUUGGCAGCAGGCUCUGGCAGCCAAACCGUCCAAGCUAGCGCCUGGAGCGCAGUGGUUUCUGGGAAUUGUAGUGUAACUGGAAGGCCCUGAGGAUUGUCGAGCU
This 556-nucleotide long non-coding RNA is filed under the name Homo sapiens (human). Its description in RNAcentral is "HSALNT0025057". Lineage: Eukaryota; Metazoa; Chordata; Mammalia; Primates; Hominidae. The record is from RNAcentral.